UACGAAGGGGGCUAGCGUUGCUCGGAAUCACUGGGCGUAAAGCGCACGUAGGCGGACUCUUAAGUCGGUGGUGAAAUCCUGGAGCUCAACUCCAGAACUGCCUUCGAUACUGAGAGUCUCGAGUCCGGGAGAGGUGAGUGGAACUGCGAGUGUAGAGGUGAAAUUCGUAGAUAUUCGCAAGAACACCAGUGGCGAAGGCGGCUCACUGGCCCGGUACUGACGCUGAGGUGCGAAAGCGUGGGGGGCAAACAGG
Molecule: ribosomal RNA, 253 nt
Filed under: uncultured bacterium
Lineage: Bacteria
Description: partial 16S ribosomal RNA
Rfam family: Bacterial small subunit ribosomal RNA
Source: RNAcentral